GACGCGACGUCGGGCGGCGCGGCGGUGCCGCCGUAGCCGCGGAGGUCCGGCGCCACGCAGCGGUAGCCCCGCGCGGCCAGGUGCGCCAUCUGGUGGCGCCACGAGUACCAGAGCUCCGGGAAGCCGUGCAGGAACACCACCGCGGGCGCGCCGUCGCCGUCGGGGCCGGACUCCGCCACGUGCAUCGAGAUGCCGUUCGCCUCCACCGUCCGGUGCCGGACCGCCGCCGCAUCCAUGCUCGCGCCGGCUGGUGCUAGGUGCUAGCUGGUCUCGCGCGCUCUCGGCUCACGUACGGCCGGCGGACGUCGUCGUCGUCGCUCUCGCUGCCCCGGCUCCCGUUUCUCGGCCGGCCGCUGCUACUUAUCGGCAGGCUCCCGCUGGUUUCUCUGGCAAGCGGUGCGGAUGGGGAAUAUAUAAUCCCAACGAGAGACACGCACAUGACGCAACGCGGUUGGAGGUGUUGAGUAUGGAGCGAGAGCAUAUAUUUAUCUUUUGCUGUUUAGAUACAUCAUUAAUCCUUUAGUUUUAAUUUUUAUGAAUUUAUAUUAUAUAAAAUUUACCGCAUAUCAUCCAUUAUUUUAUGUUCGAAACCAGCCGCUCCUUGGCUAGAUAGAUCGGCGCGCGCGGAUUGCAUUGCAUUAGAUUAGGCCGGUCGACCCGCCGCCGUACCCCAGCUUGCCGGCGGCCGGCCGGCCGCUGUAGCAGGCUCGCCAUUCUAUUCGUUCCUGGCGAGGCUAACGCGAAUCAGAACCAGAACGAGCUGCUUAUCGGAGAUGUAUCUGGCAGCUAUGCCCUACGAACCGUACGGGGUGGCGGCGGCGCCAGUCGUGUCCUUCCCCGUUGCCGGAGCGGCCAGGGCACAGGCAGUGGUCGUCGGGCCUCUUCGACUGCUUGGACGAGUCCCGCGUCUCUGUAAGCCUAGUUAGCACCCUCGAUGUUCGUCAGCUCGAUCUUGAACUUUUGCUAGGUCGUAUAGUAGGUAGCUGAGCUCACCGGCAGGCACAGGCUGCCUGACGCACUAGUGCCCGUGCGUCACGUUCGGGCGGAUCGCGGCGCGACGUCGUGCGCGACGGGCGGGGCGCUAUACGCGCUCAUCGCCUGCCUCUCGGCGUCGCGGUGCCAGUGGGUGUAUUCCUGCACGUACCGCGCCGUGAUGCGCUCGCAGUUGGGCCUCCCGGAGGCGCCAUGCGCCCGACUGCCUCGUCCACCUAAGCGCUCUGCCAGCAGUACAGGGAGCUCAAGGCUUGGGGCCUCGAGCCCUCAACCCCGCCAUCGGCCGGGACUUGAACGAUGCCAUGUACCCGCCGCCGGCGCAGGGGAUGCGACGGCACUGAUCGGUGGAUCCCUCCAUGUAUCGGGUCCAUUUCGUUUGUUUGUUGACGACAGAUGCAGACACAGUACAAGGUGUCCACCUACACCACACGCCAGGCUGGACCACCCUCCAUAUAUAUAGGGUGAGUAAAUUGGAAGUCAUAUGCUUUCAAAUAUUAUAGAAAGACCUGACCCUUUACCCCCGACCUGGCUGAAACAUGCAUACGCCAGGCUGUCAACUGUGUCACUGCCCGUGCACCAGGUCAACCUUCCCCACGAUCAUCAGGCAAACACCUGGUCCAAAAUCAACCUCCCGCAUGGGACGCAAACCAUAAAUUGUGGUUCUGUUUUUACACAAAUAGAGUAAAACUGUCAACAUAAAUAGUGUAAAUAGUUCAGAGAGAUAGCAUAAAAACCGCGCCACAUGCUCAUGCGCAGGUGCAUGCAUGCAGAUUCUAUUUUUAUGAUAGAUCCAAUAAUUAUGACAUGGCGUGAGAAUUUUAAUUAUAUGUAAUCAAAUUUUAGAUGACAUUUUCGUUUCCAUUGCAUGCGCGCAAAAAAUUACAUGACAGGAAUGUGCGAGAUGAAAGGAAAUUGAUUGACAUAUAUGGAAACAAUAAAAUCUUAUUUUAGAUUUGUAUUUUAUUCAUAAAUAUAUGAUCGCUCGAACAGUCAUGCAGCUAGUCUCGUUACAACCAGUUAUGCAAUAUGGAACGCUGCAUAAAAACUACCACGAGGUACACUAGUAGACGUAUCUCCAGAUUCGAGCGUAAAAACCUUAAGUUUUGAGCAUGAAACCCCUCAGUUAUGUGCGUAAAUAUCGAGCCAUGUGAGAGAGGUUGAUAACUCUAAUGCGUUGUAUGUACGAUCCUAUUUUAUGGUAGAUCCAAAAAAUAUGAGUCAAAUGCAUGUGGUUUCUUUUUUAUGCAAAUCCGAAAAUUAUGGAAGAUCGUGUGAGUUUACAUUGCAUGCGCAUAAAUUUUGGAUGUUAUUUUCAUUUCUACUACACGCAUGCAAAAAAAAUAGAAUGACAUGAUUCACGCAGAGCAUAAAUUCUUAUAUAAAGUUGCAUAAAUACAUACACUAUGUAGCGUAAUUGAUAAAAAAAUCGCAUACAUAAAAAUCAUACUUCAUCAUCGUAAAAAUUAUCACUGGAAUGCAUAAAUAUUGUAAGUAGCGGGUAUAAAACAUAAUCAUCGAUGACAUAAACAUGGAUCGGAUAGUUCGCCGCUGGAGAAUGAUCCCGAGACCGCUACAUCAAAGGAUGCCUCAGAGGCCAUCGGGUAGAAGGUGGUCGUCGAAGGAGGACGCCCUCCGAUGCGCCACACCCGAGGAGAUCGUUGUCUUUGGAUGACACCACAGACGGUCAACGCAACCAUCACCGCUCGCGCCUUGAAAGGUCAUCACCACCGCCGCAGAUCGCGCCUCGGGAGAUCGCGAUCGCCCCAACCGCUCGUGCCUCGGCAGACGCGGUCAUCGCUGCUCGCGCUUAUGGUCGUCACGGCCGCCACAACGCUCACGUCUUGGGCCGCCACUCGACGACAUCGUCUUGGGCCGACGUUGCCUGGGAAUGCCUCUCGCGUCUCACAAUGCCGCUCGCGUCUCGCGUCGCAGCCUGCAGGAAGUCGUCAUCGACGUCCGGUCGCCGCUCGCCUCCUCUAGCACCUCACGCAGUUGCAGCCGCUAUGAGGCCUCGAAACCUUAAUUCCUAGGGGUCUAGGGUGUUUUUAUAGACGCUCGUACGUGAUCUGGCUCAACCGAAAGGCACGUCGGGCCUAGGCUUCUGGUAGCUAUUGGACAUGGUAUAGUUUCCAACAUAGAUGCCAGUAUGCCACUGUUGAUCGUCCGACAACAGUACACGGUCACCGGUACAAGCAUUGUACAUUUAAAUUACGAAACGCAUGGUUUAUCCAUUUCACAUCGAACAUACCAUGUCCAAGUCACAAAUUAAACCAGACAUAUAUGCGAACACUUAUUACUCUUAGUUCGAAAAACAAAACAAGUUGGCAGCACGGAUAUCGAGGUUGAGAUUACAGGCUUUAGCAGGUAAGCAAGCAAGCUGAUGGUCGAUCCAUGCACAUGUAUCAGAACUUGGAGAUGAAGUCGUAGAUGUGCUGGCUGACCUCGUCGGCCUUCUCCUGCUGGACGAAGUGGCCGGCGCCGGGGAUGACGACGACGCUCUCGAGCCCCGGGACGUCGGCCUCGAACCCGCCCUUGUGGAUGUAGUCCUGGAUGCCCGGGUAGUGGUAGGUGAGGUCGCCGUCGCCGACGAUGAACCUGGUGGGCACCCGCACCUUGGCGUCCGCCCACGGCGCCGCCAGCUCCCAGUUGCGGUCCAUGUUGCGGUAGUAGUUGAUGGGCCCCGUGAAGCCCGUCCGCUCGAACUCCGACGCGAAGUGGCCCACGUCCUCCUCCGUCAGCCACGGCGGCAGCGGCUCCUCCUCGGCGGCGUCCGCCGGCGGUCGCUUGUCGUCGCCGGCCGCCGAGGAGGUGAAGCGGUUGCACAGGAUCCGCUUCAUCAGGUACCCGGCGUUGGCCGGCGAGAACUCCUUCUCUGCGACACCAGGCUCCUGCAGUUCACUACUUAGUUGUUAGUUGUAAGGAAGGAGAUCGAAGAAUCCUCUCCAUAUGCAUGCAUGCACAAAAAAAAAUGAUUUCGUUCCAUGAUCCCUCCCCCUCUCUAUAAAUGUCAAUUCCGGCCGCAUUCUCACGUACCGAUCGACAAACAACAAAAGCAGCAAUGGCGCCGGUUAUCCUUGCCAUGAACGUGCACUGCUACGGCUGCGCCGGCAAGAUCCGCGAGGUCGUCAAGAACCUCCUCGGUACGUAGCGUACGCGCCGGCGGCAAUUAAUCCAGUCCCCACGCAUCCUUGGAUCCUUACUGCUGUACUAGUAGCAUAUAUAUAUAACUAAUGCCUAUAGCUUGCUCGUCGUCGUCGAUCGCCGGACCACCGCGCGCGCGUACAUGCAGGGGUGGAGGAGGUGUGGGUGUCGGUGGACACGGGGCUGGUGGUGGUGUCCGGGACGUCGCUGGACGCCUGGCUGCUACGGUGUCGGAUCCAGAACAGCACCCGGAGGCCCGUCACCGUCGUCAGCGACGUCGCCGCGGACACGGCGCCGGAGCCGCAGCACGCCGCGCCGCCGCUUGGUGGGUACUACCCGCAACACCACUACAGCGGGGUGCUGCACAUGGCCCCGCCGCCUCUUCCGGCCGGCGCCUAUCCCUACUACUACUACUACGGCAGCGGCGACGGCUGGGUGCCCGCGCCGCCGCAGCACCUGCUCCAGUACGUGCCGACGACGACGACGGUCGACGGCUACUUCCCCUCGCGCCAGUACGUGCCCAACCUGGCCCCUGUGUGCUUCAACGACGACAACCCCAACGGCUGCUGCGUGCAGUGACCGACAUCGGUCGGGCUAGUCGAUCGGUGGUCGCCGGCGGCCGGCCGGCCGACGACAAAUUGUUUGUCUGGAUUGUAAGAAUUCUUUUUAUUUGAAUAGCUACGUACUAAUAAAGAUCUCGAAAUAAAAAGUUACCAAAGGUACCUGGAAGCGGCAGAUGUAGUAGGUGGGCCCGUAGGUGCGGUGGAAGUAGUCGAUGGGCGUGACGGCGGCGGCGGCGGCGCGGACGAAGAUGUGGCGCAUGAAGGCGACGCUGGUGUUGACAAGCGCCGCCACCCGGUCCGGCCGGAACAGGCAGAGGUACCACGCGAUGAUGGCGCCCCAGUCGUGACCCACCACGAACACCUGCUUCGCCAUGCAAUGCAAACAUCUAUCCGAUCCGUGAAGAAGCGAAAUCAAAUCAAACACCGAUGAUGAGAUCAGGCACAAACAUUGAUUAUUGCUCCAUUGUGUCACCGAUGAGAGAUCAGGCAAUUAUUUGAUAAGCAUGCAUGCUAGCUAGUUUGAUUACAUAUGUGCACACGCUAAAUUGAUGAUGCUGAUGCUACAACCACCGCUUUAUUCUAUCGUACAUGUAACAUGUGCGUUUUAUACACAUAUUCUUGGAUAUUCUCGGAUGCCUGGCCAUACGCUGCACCACUUAGGGAUAGAAAGAAAGAAACUUAGGGGUGUUUGGUUUGAGGAAUCACUACAUCCAAAAUAUAGUGGUGCAUCAUGGGUCCAUUCCUUAAAUUUGGUGGGAUGACCUCAUUCCUUAUAUUACUACUAACUAACUAACUAUGAGGAAUGAGGUGAUGAUGGAUCAACUCAUUCCAUUCCACAAACCAAACAAAAAAAGUGAGGAAAGUGAGGAGUGAGAAGAUAAUGAACUAACUCAUUUCUCAAACCAAACAGCCUAUUAACUAGCUUGGUGUACUGAUUAGACUCACCAGAUUACAGUAAAAUGAACUUAGUUUAACUUUAACUUAAUUAGCUUGUUACUUUAACCUCGGAACAAAAGGCUGGAUAGCAAACAAUACGUACGUACGGGAGAUCGUAAUUAAUAAAAAAAUCAAAUUUAAUUUCGAAGAAACACGGAUGCGAAGAAUUCCAUAUUAUUGGCUUAUUAUUAGUUUUAAGAUGAGUAGAUGAUUUUUAUCAGUUUUAGAAUUAUUGUUUUAGUUAGUUUUCAAAAUUAAAAAAAAUUAUAGAAGUAGAGGCGUUUGUAUAUAUGUUCACACACUUCACAGAGGAUGGAUGAGUACGAAGUGUGUUAUAGGCUUAUAGCAGUAGUACACACGAGAGGAAUUGAAGAAGUCAACGUUGAUACGGAAAAGGAAGGACCUUGUUGUGGAUGCCGAGCGCGUCGAGCAGGGCGACGACGUCGCCGACGACGUGGAAGGCGGAGUAGGACGCGACGUCGGGCGGCGCGGCGGUGCCGCCGUAGCCGCGGAGGUCCGGCGCCACGCAGCGGUAGCCCCGCGCGGCCAGGUGCGCCAUCUGGUGGCGCCACGAGUACCAGAGCUCCGGGAAGCCGUGCAGGAACACCACCGCGGGCGCGCCGUCGCCGUCGGGGCCGGACUCCGCCACGUGCAUCGAGAUGCCGUUCGCCU
Molecule: long non-coding RNA, 6305 nt
Filed under: Zea mays
Lineage: Eukaryota; Viridiplantae; Streptophyta; Magnoliopsida; Poales; Poaceae
Description: long non-coding RNA (ZMAY_LNC002860)
Source: RNAcentral